This 387-nucleotide long non-coding RNA is filed under the name Rattus norvegicus (Norway rat). RNAcentral describes it as "long non-coding RNA NONRATT025004". The record is from RNAcentral. Lineage: Eukaryota; Metazoa; Chordata; Mammalia; Rodentia; Muridae.
UAGAAUUUUUUCUGUGUGAACUGUUCAAAAAGAGAAGGAAAAUAGACUUUUUAUACCUAACAUUUUUUUCAUUAUUCCUUUAUACCUAGAUACAGUUGAUAACAUUCCCCUACAUAAAUGUGUUACCCUGACAACCAUCAAAAUGUAUUUAUUUAUAAUUCACACAUACUAAAUAAAAUCAGUAGUUUGUUGGCAACAUUCUUUAGAAUCCUUACUCUACAUUUUUUUCUAACUUGAGAUACACAUUCUCCAUAUGUACUGAGAAAUGUUAAAUAUAACUAAUGGGGACAAAUGAUUAUUAUUAUCUUUUGCCUUGGCUUUUAAAGAAAUAUACUUUGAAAACAGAAAGUAAAGCUAAGUAAUUAAGGCACAAAACAAGACAAGCAU